UCACACCGGCAAAACAAACAAGAGGUUCAACGAAAGAGAUCUUAAAAAUAAACACAAGAAAGACAACCCAAACUGGGAGAAAGAGUCGCACCCCUUCAACAUGCUCUUUUUGAUUUCUUUUUUCGACGAUAUUCAUCUCUUUCUGUUUUAGGUCGAGGUGAAGCAAAAAUGAGGGCAGGGGAAUGGCAUAUUGUUGUUUUUUUUGAAAGAAAAGCAGUGAAAAA
Molecule: non-coding RNA, 224 nt
Filed under: Climacostomum virens
Lineage: Eukaryota; Ciliophora; Heterotrichea; Heterotrichida; Climacostomidae
Source: RNAcentral